Camelina sativa (false flax) is the source of this 1295-nucleotide non-coding RNA. Lineage: Eukaryota; Viridiplantae; Streptophyta; Magnoliopsida; Brassicales; Brassicaceae. The record is from RefSeq and is a predicted model, not a curated record.
UAGCAUCGCUCUCUCCACUGCUAAUUGAAACCUCUUGUCCAAUAGUCUUCAAGGGAAAAAGAACAACCUUAUUGACUUAUUGGUACCACCGGAAAAAAAAAAAAAACAUUCAGUUUUAGGGUACCGAAGUUUUAAAGAACAACCUUAUUGACUUAUUCGAAACCAUGCUUCUCCUCCUCCGAAAUCCUCAAGGUACCGAAGAAGAUCUGUCUUAGCUCAAAACGACACCGUCGAUGACAGCACCCCUCAUGUUCCUUUGAUUCUUCCUCUUCUUACUCUGAUUCCUCCAGAUCUGUGGAUUUCUUUCACACCAACAUUUGAAAACCUUUGUUUGUUUGGAGUUAAAAAAUUAACUGUCAUUUAUUUGUUUUUGUUGGUGUUCUUUGAAAGGGAUUUGAGAAACCGAAGUUGAUAAGGUUAAUGGAUCUAGAGAAAGCAGCUAUGAUGUUCUUCAUCUAAAGCGGAUAUGUCGAUCCCCCAUGACGUUGCUACUGUUAGGACUACAAGGCCUUAAGUAUUGUGGUUACAUUGCAGUUAUGAAAAUAGAGAUGGAGAAUGAGGAGUUAAGCCCACCUUCUCAACGUUUUGACCCUCCUUGAAUAGCACCAAGGUGUUGCUAAAUCUCUAAACAUUCAUCCUUGCCUCUUUAGUCUAUUGUCUCGCUUGUGUUCAUAUUGAAGGCUACAGGAAAAAAGGAUUAUAUGUCACAGUCUAGAAAAAUUAGUAGAGCCUUCGAUAAUAUGAUUACAACACAGAUAUCUACUCGACAACCAUCUCAAUCACCAUCACAAGAAACAUGGACAACUCCACAUGAAACUCUGUUAAAAUGCAACUUUGAUGCAGGACUACACCCUCCAAGUCUACAAUCAACAGGUGGAUGGAUCAUAAGAGAUAAACAUGGCCAAGCACUCACUUGGGGUUCGGCUCGUUUAGGUUUUGUCCUAACUCCCCUAGAGGCUGAAACAAGAGCUUUAUUGGCGGCUAUUCAACAAUGCUGGAUUCGCGGAUACACUAAUGUUUGCUUCGAAGGAGACUGUCAAACCCUUAUUAACAUCAUCAAUGGAUUGACUUCUAAUGCGGCAUUAUCUAACCUUAUACAAGACAACUUAUUUUGGUCUUCAAAAUUUAAAUCUGUGAUGUUCUCAUUUACUAAACGUUCCUCUAAUCAAGCCGCUCAUAGCUUAGCAAAAUAUGGCUGCAUUUCCUCUAUUUUUUAUUCUAAUUUUGUAUCUCAGCCCUUGUGGCUAAAGAACAAUCUCUGUAAUGAUUUCAGAAAUUAAUAUAAUUCUUUUCGA